Molecule: ribosomal RNA, 253 nt
Filed under: uncultured bacterium
Lineage: Bacteria
Description: partial 16S ribosomal RNA
Rfam family: Bacterial small subunit ribosomal RNA
Source: RNAcentral
CGUAGGUGGCAAGCGUUAUCCGGAUUUAUUGGGUGUAAAGGGCGUGUAGGCGGGACUGCAAGUCAGAUGUGAAAACCACGGGCUCAACCUGUGGCCUGCAUUUGAAACUGUAGUUCUUGAGUGUCGGAGAGGCAAUCGGAAUUCCGUGUGUAGCGGUGAAAUGCGUAGAUAUACGGAGGAACACCAGUGGCGAAGGCGGAUUGCUGGACGAUAACUGACGCUGAGGCGCGAAAGCGUGGGAGCAAACAGGAUU